UACGGAGGGUGCAAGCGUUAAUCGGAAUUACUGGGCGUAAAGCGCACGUAGGCGGUUUGGUAAGUCAGAUGUGAGAGCCCCGGGCUUAACCUGGGAAUUGCAUCUGAUACUGCUUGACUAGAGUAUGCUAGAGGGAAGUGGAAUUCCGGGUGUAGUGGUGAAAUGCGUAGAUAUCCGGAGGAACACCAAUGGCGAAGGCAACUUCCUGGGGCAAUACCGACGCUGAGGUGCGAAAGCGUGGGUAGCGAACGGG
Molecule: unclassified non-coding RNA, 253 nt
Filed under: uncultured Gammaproteobacteria bacterium
Lineage: Bacteria; Pseudomonadati; Pseudomonadota; Gammaproteobacteria
Description: contains 16S-23S intergenic spacer region
Rfam family: Bacterial small subunit ribosomal RNA
Source: RNAcentral